Molecule: unclassified non-coding RNA, 389 nt
Filed under: uncultured fungus
Lineage: Eukaryota; Fungi
Description: partial contains 5.8S ribosomal RNA and internal transcribed spacer 2
Rfam family: 5.8S ribosomal RNA (bases 1-133)
Source: RNAcentral
UGGUUCUGGCAUCGAUGAAGAACGCAGCGAAAUGCGAUAAGUAAUGCGAAUUGCAGAUUUCAGUGAGUCAUCGAAUCUUUGAACGCACAUUGCGCCCGCCGGCAUUCCGGCGGGCAUGCCUGUUCGAGCGUCAUUUCAACCCUCAAGAUCUCCUCUUUAGUGAGUGCAGAACUUGGUGUUGGGGGAUUGCAGCUUUCUCGCAACCCCUGAAAACUAGUGGCGGUUCCGCCCGUGGCAAUCAUUGCGUAGUAGCACAAACAACUCGCAACUGAGGCCCGGCGGUAGUCCUUUGCCGUAAAAACGACAGUGAAGUAGUAGGAUUCUAUUCUUCUGCUAAGCUCUCAAUCUUUUUAUGAGUUGACCUCGAAUCAGGUAGGAAUACCCGCUGA